This 427-nucleotide ribosomal RNA is filed under the name uncultured bacterium. Its description in RNAcentral is "partial 16S ribosomal RNA". It matches the Rfam family "Bacterial small subunit ribosomal RNA", at positions 354 to 796 of the family's 1533-position model. The record is from RNAcentral.
GUGGGGAAUAUUGGGCAAUGGGGGAAACCCUGACCCAGCGACGCCGCGUGAGGGAAGACGGCCUUCGGGUUGUAAACCUCUUUUGUACGGGAAGAAGGAAGUGACGGUACUGUACGAAUAAGUCCCGGCUAACUACGUGCCAGCAGCCGCGGUAAUACGUAGGGGACGAGCGUUGUCCGGAAUUACUGGGCGUAAAGGGCGCGCAGGCUGUGCUGCAAGUCAGCUGUGAAAUGUCUGGGCUUAACCCGGGCAUGCGGUUGAGAUUGCAGUGCUGGAGUGCUGUAGAGGCAAGUGGAAUUCCCAGUGUAGCGGUGAAAUGCGUAGAUAUUGGGAAGAACACCGGUGGCGAAGGCGACUUGCUGGGCAGCAACUGACGCUGAGGCGCGAAAGCCAGGGGAGCAAACGGGAUUAGAAACCCUGGUAGUCC